RNAcentral lists this long non-coding RNA (457 nucleotides) under Setaria viridis. Its description in RNAcentral is "long non-coding RNA (SVIR_LNC004456)". The record is from RNAcentral. Lineage: Eukaryota; Viridiplantae; Streptophyta; Magnoliopsida; Poales; Poaceae.
GUUGGUUUCAGGGAUAUGCUGCACAAUUUAAAAGCGGGCAGGCAAGAGAUUAGCGACAUAUGUAUAUAUAUUUUAAAUCACAUCCAAUUAUUGUUGAUACCUGGUUCCUAAUUUCUUGGCUAUGUAGUUCUGGCCUUGCUUCAGUGUUAUCCUCGCUGGUCCUAGCAUCAACUUCAGUUGUAUUAUUGUUAUUUGCCGGUGUACGUUGCGGAUUUUAAAAGAGGAUAGGCUAGAUAUAAGCGAGAUUGUGCAAAUUUAUAACACAACAGAAAUAAACAUGCAGAAAUCAUGUUCUGGUUACCUCUCCCAGUAAAGCCUGACGAUAAGGCGCCAUCAUUGUUUCAACUUCCCCCAUCAAUUCUUGUCUAAGCGCGGCUUUAAGUUGUUCUCUCUCUGCUUCCUUUUCAACUUCAUGCUUCUGCAUUUUUUCCUGUAACUGACGUUCCUGUUCUUCGAG